RNAcentral lists this ribosomal RNA (490 nucleotides) under uncultured bacterium. Its description in RNAcentral is "partial 16S ribosomal RNA". It matches the Rfam family "Bacterial small subunit ribosomal RNA", at positions 29 to 507 of the family's 1533-position model. The record is from RNAcentral.
AAUGAACGCUGGCGGCAUGCCUUACACAUGCAAGUCGAACGGCAGCAUGACCUAGCUUGCUAGGUUGAUGGCGAGUGGCGAACGGGUGAGUAAUGCAUCGGAACGUGCCUUUUAGUGGGGGAUAACGUAUCGAAAGUUACGCUAAUACCGCAUAUUCUCUGAGGAGGAAAGCAGGGGACCUUCGGGCCUUGCGCUAGAAGAGCGGCCGAUGUCGGAUUAGCUAGUUGGUGAGGUAAAGGCUCACCAAGGCAACGAUCCGUAGCGGGUCUGAGAGGAUGAUCCGCCACACUGGGACUGAGACACGGCCCAGACUCCUACGGGAGGCAGCAGUGGGGAAUUUUGGACAAUGGGCGCAAGCCUGAUCCAGCCAUGCCGCGUGAGUGAAGAAGGCCUUCGGGUUGUAAAGCUCUUUCGGCUGGGAAGAAAUCGCACCCUCUAAUACAGGGUGUGGAUGACGGUACCAGCAUAAGAAGCACCGGCUAACUACGUG